RNAcentral lists this small RNA (107 nucleotides) under Marmota monax (woodchuck). Lineage: Eukaryota; Metazoa; Chordata; Mammalia; Rodentia; Sciuridae. The record is from RNAcentral.
GCCAGGCAUGGUGGUGCAUGCCUGUAAUCCCAGCAACUCAGGAGGCUGAGGCAGGAGGAUCUCAAGUUUGAGGCCAGACAUGGCAACUUAGAGAGAACCUGUCUCAA